CUCCACUUGCCUUUUGUUGAAUAUUAUUAAACUAUUAUGGGAUGAAUCUUACUGAAUAAAUAUAAAAUAAUUAUACAACUCUGAGGGAUUAAGUUAAUUCUAGGAGCACAUUUUUAAGAUGAAAUCUUCAAAUUUUAAUAUUAAUCGUCUCGUUUAGAAGUAUGUAUCAUUAAAGAUUAGAGUUUUCAUUUCUUUAGAUUUUGUCUUUAACAUGUCCCUCAAGUGCCUGAUAAAUUUGAUCUUAUUAAUGUCGUAGUGUCCAUAUUUAUUUUAUUGGGGGGUUUCCCGUGGUUAAAUAUUGAAAUGUAGCCCUCUCAUAAACGUGGGUCCCACGACUAUUUCCUCCUAUAUUUGAGAGGCUGUCAACCAUACUGUCAAAUAUGUUAUACGUGUAGCACUUUUUUGUCUUUUAAAAGUUGAAUCCCAACUUUAAGGGCAUCCACUGUCCUGCUCUUGGAGUGUCGAAAGAGAGAUAAAUCGUGGGAUAUGUCCCAAUAGGUGAGGGAAUAAGAGUUUGUUUAUACAUUGGUGCUCAUAAAAAAUCCAAUUUCAUAUCUCAUGGAUCGAAUCCUUAUACUGUUGAGAUUACCUCAGGGUUAUGCCUCGAGGCGCACUUUUUCGUCUUUUAAUAGGUCUAACGAAGGUUUAGGAAGAAUAAUCAUAUUUUUGACAUUGUUUACUAUGAAACUUACCAAAAGAAUUCCACUUUCAAUAAAUUUUUGACUUGUCAACGAAUACGUCAAGGAUUUAUUUUCACAAGACUUUAAACUAGUCGUACUUAGAUAUUAUAUUGAACUAACCAAUCGAAAAUAAAUAAAUAAAUGUUAGAAAAGACGCAUUUAUUUAUUUAAAUAUAAUUUUCAAUAUUUCAAAGAUUUUUGUAUUUUAUAAUUGUUGUAAUUAUUUGUAGUCUUCGGAGGACGAUGGGCAAGGUGGAAGGAGAAAGAAGGGACUCAAGGACAAAAUAGAAGACAAGUUAACCGGUAGCAAUAAGGAAGAUCAAACUUACAAUUUGGCUUCGAAGAAUACCACUCCAGCAGGUUAUGAAGCUACCGGAGAACGUGGCGAGGAGAAGAAGGGAAUGAUGGAUAAGAUCAUGGACAAACUGCCCGGCCGCAAUAAUUAAUAAUAUAUAUGUAAACAAAAUAAUAGUCCUUGAAUUAGUUCCUUCGAGAUGAAGUGAGAAACAGACCAUCGCAUGACUCUUUCGACUUGACGGAGCAUCAAUCAAUGUAUCAUUUAGUGCUUGUUUUUCCGUCUUUAAGUUACAUAAAAUGUUAUUGAAAUAAGCCAUGGCCUUGUUCCUACGAACAAAGCAUGUGCAUGUGUGCGUAUUUGCCAUAUUGUGAU
Molecule: long non-coding RNA, 1350 nt
Filed under: Olea europaea (common olive)
Lineage: Eukaryota; Viridiplantae; Streptophyta; Magnoliopsida; Lamiales; Oleaceae
Description: long non-coding RNA (OEUR_LNC010811)
Source: RNAcentral